RNAcentral lists this ribosomal RNA (452 nucleotides) under uncultured bacterium. Its description in RNAcentral is "bacterial SSU rRNA". It matches the Rfam family "Bacterial small subunit ribosomal RNA", at positions 340 to 784 of the family's 1533-position model. The record is from RNAcentral.
UACGGGAGGCAGCAGUGGGGAAUAUUGCACAAUGGGCGCAAGCCUGAUGCAGCCAUGCCGCGUGUAUGAAGAAGGCCUUCGGGUUGUAAAGUACUUUCAGUCGUGAGGAAGGUGUUAAGGUUAAUAACCUUAGCAAUUGACGUUAGCGACAGAAGAAGCACCGGCUAACUCCGUGCCAGCAGCCGCGGUAAUACGGAGGGUGCGAGCGUUAAUCGGAAUUACUGGGCGUAAAGGGCACGCAGGCGGUUAAUUAAGUUGGAUGUGAAAUCCCCGGGCUUAACCUGGGAAUGGCAUUCAAGACUGGUUAGCUAGAGUCUUGUAGAGGGGGUAGAAUUCCAUGUGUAGCGGUGAAAUGCGUAGAGAUGUGGAGGAAUACCGGUGGCGAAGGCGGCCCCCUGGACGAAACGACUGACGCUCAUGUGCGAAAGCGUGGGGAGCAACAGGAUUAGAUA